RNAcentral lists this long non-coding RNA (980 nucleotides) under Mustela putorius furo (domestic ferret). RNAcentral's name for it is "lncRNA (ENSMPUG00000029353.1)". The record is from RNAcentral. Lineage: Eukaryota; Metazoa; Chordata; Mammalia; Carnivora; Mustelidae.
GCUGGGACUGGAGAUGACCGCCCGGACUCCUGUGCUCGGGUUGCUUCACUACGCAGGGCGUCCGCGUUUGAGCAACAAGAUUUUUCAUGGUCAACUCUCAUGUUCAGAAGCUCUGAGGACGGGAGUAAGGACGAUUAUGCAAAUAAGCUAGUGCCCCCGCCUCCCGCAACACAACCUCGGUGUUCCCAGGCCCUCUGAGCUGAGCGGCUCUAACUGGACCCCGGGGCGCCCGCAGCCGGCGCCUGGUUUAGGGAACGCGCAGCUGCAGCCCCGCGAGCUCCAACGUGGGCAGGGCAGCCGACCCAAAAUACGCGCUCUGCAGCCGGCCCCGCCGCUGCCUUUUUUAGCUUGUUUGCGGCCAGGCUGACUCACACAGCUAAGACAGCAAAAUGUACCUGAGGUGACGCCUGGCGGUAUUCAAAUAUCCCUAGUUUCUUUUCUAUUUUUUCUCUCCUCUCCAUCACCUCUGCCAACUUACGCCUCCUGCCCCGGGGCCGCCUUGGCCAUGGCCUGUCCUGCCAUUGGUUCUCGGCGGUGAGGGAGUUGCGGGCUCCGACCUUGUCAAGGUGACUCCCCAAGUUCCUGCAUUUUCUGAGUGACGUGCAUUCACAUGAGGUCUGCAAUGUUGUCUCUCCUAUCAAGAUGUGCAACAGUCACACAUACACACACCCUUCGCUGAGUUUCAUUUUGCUGGCUUCGGAAGUCAUUUGAAUUGGAAGAGUUUUCUUUGUGAAACCGGAAGGCUUCACUGGGGGCUUAAGAAGAGAGGAGGAGAAGAGGACGAGCUCACCCUGGCACAAUCCAUCUGUACUACUCCAGUCACUGUAUCUUCUGCCUUUCAUAAAAGCAACUGUACCUCUGAGAUAAAGCAGUCUUCACGGAUAGCUUACAAAUGGGCAAAUCACUAUCUACCGUGAGUAUUCUCCAAAGGGUCAAUGUUGCAUGUAGCUCUGACGAAGAGAGGAAAAUUCUAUGUGCGG